RNAcentral lists this unclassified non-coding RNA (377 nucleotides) under uncultured Parachlamydiaceae bacterium. RNAcentral's name for it is "contains 16S-23S intergenic spacer region". Lineage: Bacteria; Pseudomonadati; Chlamydiota; Chlamydiia; Parachlamydiales; Parachlamydiaceae. The record is from RNAcentral.
UCCUGGUUAACCCAGGCAGUCUCGUUAGAGUUCCCACCCUAAGUGUUGGCAACUAACGAUAAGGGUUGCGCUCGUUGCGGGACUUAACCCAACACCUCACGGCACGAGCUGACGACAGCCAUGCAGCACCUGUGCAGCGGUCCCGAAGGAAGAUGCCAUUUCUGGCACUGUCCACUGCAUGUCAAGUCUGGGUAAGGUUCUUCGCGUUGCAUCGAAUUAAACCACAUGCUCCACUGCUUGUGCGGGUCCCCGUCAAUUCUUUUGAGUUUCACCCUUGCGAGCGUACUCCCCAGGCGGUAUACUUAUCGCGUUAGCUUCGGCACAACUAGGGUUGAGUCCAGUUACACCAAGUAUACAUCGUUUAAGGCAAGGACUAC